RNAcentral lists this ribosomal RNA (828 nucleotides) under Flavobacterium collinsii. RNAcentral describes it as "bacterial SSU rRNA". It matches the Rfam family "Bacterial small subunit ribosomal RNA", at positions 98 to 929 of the family's 1533-position model. Lineage: Bacteria; Pseudomonadati; Bacteroidota; Flavobacteriia; Flavobacteriales; Flavobacteriaceae. The record is from RNAcentral.
GCGCACGGGUGCGUAACGCGUAUGCAAUCUACCUUUUACAGAGGGAUAGCCCAGAGAAAUUUGGAUUAAUACCUCAUAGCAUAACGACUUCGCAUGAAUUCACUAUUAAAGUCACAACGGUAAAAGAUGAGCAUGCGUCCCAUUAGCUAGUUGGUAAGGUAACGGCUUACCAAGGCUACGAUGGGUAGGGGUCCUGAGAGGGAGAUCCCCCACACUGGUACUGAGACACGGACCAGACUCCUACGGGAGGCAGCAGUGAGGAAUAUUGGACAAUGGGCGCAAGCCUGAUCCAGCCAUGCCGCGUGCAGGAUGACGGUCCUAUGGAUUGUAAACUGCUUUUAUACGAGAAGAAACACUACUUCGUGAAGUAGCUUGACGGUAUCGUAAGAAUAAGGAUCGGCUAACUCCGUGCCAGCAGCCGCGGUAAUACGGAGGAUCCAAGCGUUAUCCGGAAUCAUUGGGUUUAAAGGGUCCGUAGGCGGUUUAAUAAGUCAGUGGUGAAAGCCCAUCGCUCAACGGUGGAACGGCCAUUGAUACUGUUAAACUUGAAUUAUUAGGAAGUAACUAGAAUAUGUAGUGUAGCGGUGAAAUGCUUAGAGAUUACAUGGAAUACCAAUUGCGAAGGCAGGUUACUACUAAUGGAUUGACGCUGAUGGACGAAAGCGUGGGUAGCGAACAGGAUUAGAUACCCUGGUAGUCCACGCCGUAAACGAUGGAUACUAGCUGUUGGGAGCAAUCUCAGUGGCUAAGCGAAAGUGAUAAGUAUCCCACCUGGGGAGUACGUUCGCAAGAAUGAAACUCAAAGGAAUUGACGGGGGCCCGCACAAG